GAUGAAGAACGUAGCGAAAUGCGAUACGUAAUGUGAAUUGCAGAAUUCAGUGAAUCAUCGAGUCUUUGAACGCACAUUGCGCCCCCUGGUAUUCCGGGGGGCAUGCCUGUCCGAGCGUCAUUGCUGCCCUCAAGCACGGCUUGUGUGUUGGGCCUCCGUCCUCCUCCCGGGGGACGGGCCCGAAAGGCAGCGGCGGCGCCGCGUCCGGUCCUCGAGCGUAUGGGGCUUCGUCACCCGCUCUUGUAGGCCCGGCCGGCGCUUGCCGACACAUCAAUCUUUUUUCCAGGUUGACCUCGGAUCAGGUAGGGAUACCCGCUGAACUUAAGCAUAUCAAUAAGCGGAGG
This 344-nucleotide unclassified non-coding RNA is filed under the name soil metagenome. RNAcentral describes it as "partial contains 5.8S ribosomal RNA, internal transcribed spacer 2, and large subunit ribosomal RNA". The stretch from base 1 to 120 matches the Rfam family "5.8S ribosomal RNA", at positions 35 to 154 of the family's 154-position model. The record is from RNAcentral.